RNAcentral lists this non-coding RNA (208 nucleotides) under Prymnesium polylepis. The record is from RNAcentral. Lineage: Eukaryota; Haptophyta; Prymnesiales; Prymnesiaceae.
GCACCAUCAAGAUCAAGGAUGGUGACCUGCCUGGCGGGCCGGAGCAUCCUCCAGGAACCAUUUGCCAGUCGCUGCACCUAUCAGGUGCAGACAGCAAUGUAGAUGUCGCGCUCGCGCUCGUCCAGGCGCUUCUAGCGACUGACCCUUCCGAGACGGCCCGAGGCAUGGUGCGCCACGCACCACCGGCCGCGGAUGCCACAGUGUAUGC